Molecule: transfer RNA, 50 nt
Filed under: Leptotrombidium pallidum
Lineage: Eukaryota; Metazoa; Arthropoda; Arachnida; Trombidiformes; Trombiculidae
Description: tRNA-Ile
Source: RNAcentral
AGUAAAAUUUUCCUCUUGAUGGGAGGAAAAAGGUUAUUAACCUUUUACUU